This is a long non-coding RNA of Oryzias melastigma (Indian medaka), 779 nucleotides long. RefSeq lists it as uncharacterized. NCBI's taxonomy places the organism in Eukaryota, Metazoa, Chordata, Actinopteri, Beloniformes, Adrianichthyidae. The transcript is spliced from 2 exons. The record is from RefSeq and is a predicted model, not a curated record.
UUCACCCAUACAAUAAAAUUGCUUUAAGAUGCUGCAUUUGCUGUGUAAAUUGAGCAAGUAUAUAGAGAGUGUAAAAGAGGGGUGAGACAAAAACAGGCUCAGCUUAUACAUGAGGCAAAUAUGCUUCAUUUCCUUCUUCCCUCUAUUUCUUCCUCAUUCCUUAAAAACCUACCGAUACUCCAAUUCAAAUUUUGUUUUUGGUGUUUUAGCAUGUUCUUGUAUCCUUUUUUGUUCACAAUUUUUGUUGCACUGGUUGGGAUAUUACGACUUUAGGAGAAAGCACUUGUAUAGGUGACAAUAGUUGCAGACAUCAUUGUCCCGCCUACCUUAGGUUGGGGUUGUGAGAGACUAAGUGAGGGGAGUGUAGAAAAGGAUAGAUGGUAAAUGAAGGCAGGUUCCAUCCAUACUAAGGGUCCUGCCCACAACUCAGAGUUAGUUGUUUCCAGCCUGCUCUGAAGGGGGCUGGGAUUAAAAAAAAAAAAAAAAAAGAUCCUAAACUCUGCUCAGCUGCCGGUCCAAAAAAGGAGAUGAUCCUCUCAGGGUUCCUGCUGACUGGAGGAGCUUUAGAGGGCAACACGGUGCACUCCUGACACCGUGACCCAUUUGUCUGCAGGCCUCAUCAAAGCUGACGGUGGAUUUGCAGGGUGACGGCCAGUGAGGAUUCCUGCUUUCGUAACCCAGAAGACCAAGUUCGACUGUUGAUGUUUGUUGAGCCAGUGGACCUCCAAGUGCUCGGAUGUGUUUCUGUAGCAACAAAACUAAUAAACACUUCCUCUGAA